Molecule: ribosomal RNA, 789 nt
Filed under: uncultured bacterium
Lineage: Bacteria
Description: bacterial SSU rRNA
Rfam family: Bacterial small subunit ribosomal RNA
Source: RNAcentral
GACGAGGGUCCUUCGGGACUCGAGUGGCGAACGGGUGAGUAACACGUAGGGAACCUGCCCGUGCGACCGGGAGAACUUUCGGAAACGGAAGCUGAUACCGGAUAGGGACAGAGACGGCAUCGACUCUGUGUUAAAGGAGCUGAAAGGCUCCGCGCACGGAUGGACCUGCGGUGCAUUAGCUGGUUGGUGAGGUAACGGCCCACCAAGGCGACGAUGCAUAGCCGGCCUGAGAGGGCGGACGGCCACACUGGGACUGAGACACGGCCCAGACUCCUACGGGAGGCAGCAGUAGGGAAUUUUCGUCAAUGGGCGCAAGCCUGAACGAGCAAUGCCGCGUGAACGAGGAAGGUCUUCGGAUCGUAAAGUUCUGUUGAAGGGGAAAAAGAGCGGAGAGAGGAAAUGGUCUCCGAUUGAUAUUACCCUUCGAGGAAGUCACGGCUAACUACGUGCCAGCAGCCGCGGUAAUACGUAGGUGGCGAGCGUUAUCCGGAAUGAUUGGGCGUAAAGGGUGCGUAGGCGGCCUGCUAAGUCUGGAGUGAAAGGUACCGGCUCAACCGGUACAGGCUCUGGAAACUGGCGGGCUAGAGAGCAGGAGAGGGCGGUGGAACUCCAUGUGUAGCGGUAAAAUGCGUAGAUAUAUGGAAGAACACCAGUGGCGAAGGCGGCCGCCUGGCCUGUUACUGACGCUGAGGCACGAAAGCGUGGGGAGCAAAUAGGAUUAGAUACCCUAGUAGUCCACGCCGUANACGAUGAGGACCAAGUGUUGGGGAAGACCCAGUGNUGCAGUUA